UCUUUAAUUGUUGCAGUUAAAAAGCUCGUAGUUGGAUUUUGGUUAAGAGGGCGCGGUCGGCCGUUUGGUCUGUACUGCGUUGUCUUGACUUCCUGAUGAGGACAUGCUCUUGGUUAACGCUGAGACAUGGAGUCAUCGUGGUUACUUUGAAAAAAUUAGAGUGUUCAAAGCGGGCUUACGCUUGAAUAUAUUAGCAUGGAAUAACACUAUAGGACUCCUGUCCUAUCUCGUUGGUCUCGGGAUGGGAGUAAUGAUUAAGAGGAACAGUUGGGGGCAUUCGUAUUUCAUUGUCAGAGGUGAAAUUCUUGGAUUUAUGAAAGACGAACUUCUGCGAAAGCAUUUGCCAAGGAUGUUUUCAUUAAUCAAGAACGAAAGUUGGGGGCUCGAAGAUGAUUAGAUACCAUCCUAGUCUCAACCAUAAACGAUGCCGACUAGGGAUUGGUGGAUGUUAAUUGAUGACUUCACCAGCACCUUAUGAGAAAUCAAAGUUUUUGGGUUCCGGGGGGAGUAUGGUCGCAAGGCUGAAACUUAAAGGAAUUGACGGAAGGGC
RNAcentral lists this ribosomal RNA (550 nucleotides) under uncultured Chlorophyta. RNAcentral's name for it is "SSU rRNA". It matches the Rfam family "Eukaryotic small subunit ribosomal RNA", at positions 603 to 1165 of the family's 1831-position model. Lineage: Eukaryota; Viridiplantae; Chlorophyta. The record is from RNAcentral.